GACAGAGGGUGCAAACGUUGUUCGGAAUUACUGGGCGUAAAGCGUGUGUAGGCGGCUAAGUAAGUCGGAUGUGAAAGCCCCGGGCUCAACCCGGGAAGUGCACUCGAUACUGCUUAGCUUGAGUAUCGGAGAGGUUGGUGGAAUUCUCGGUGUAGAGGUGAAAUUCGUAGAUAUCGAGAGGAACAUCUGUGGCGAAGGCGGCUCACUGGACCGGCAUUGACGCUGAGGUGCGAAAGCGUGGGGAGCAAACAGG
RNAcentral lists this ribosomal RNA (253 nucleotides) under uncultured bacterium. RNAcentral's name for it is "partial 16S ribosomal RNA". It matches the Rfam family "Bacterial small subunit ribosomal RNA", at positions 524 to 776 of the family's 1533-position model. The record is from RNAcentral.